GCAUAUCAUAGCGGAGAAAAGAAACUAACAAGGGAUUCCCCUAGUAACUGCGAGUGAAGCGGGAAGAGCUCAAAUUUAAAAUCUGGCGGUCUUCUGGCUGUCCGAGUUGUAAUCUGGAGAAGCGUUUUCUGUGUUAGACCGUGUACAAGUCUCCUGGAACGGAGCGUCAUAGAGGGUGAGAAUCCCGUCCAUGGCACGGACAACUAAUACUUUGUGAUACGCUCUCGAAGAGUCGAGUUGUUUGGGAAUGCAGCUCAAAAUGGGUGGUAAAUUCCAUCUAAAGCUAAAUACAGGCGAGAGACCGAUAGCGAACAAGUACCGUGAGGGAAAGAUGAAAAGCACUUUGGAAAGAGAGUUAAACAGUACGUGAAAUUGUUGAAAGGGAAACGCUUGAAGUCAGUCGCGUUGUGCAGAACUCAGCCUUGCCUCGGCUUGGUGUACUUUCUGCACAACGGGUCAACAUCAAUUUUGGCCCAUGGAGAAAGGUGGGGGGAAUGUAGCGCUGUUUCGGCAGCGUGUUAUAGCCCCUCAUUGUAUACAUGGGCUGGGAUUGAGGAACGCAGCACGCCCUUGUGGCCGGGGGUUCGCCCUACGUACCGUGCUUAGGAUGUUGGCAGAAUGGCUUUAAGCGACCCGUCUUGAAACACGGACCAAGGAGUCUAACAUGCUUGCGAGUGUUCGGGUGGAAAACCCUUGUGCGUAAUGAAAGUGAAAGUUGGGAACCUCCGCAAGGGGGUGCACCGACGCCCGGCCCUGACGUUCUCUGACGGUGCUGCGGUAGAGCAAGUAUGCUAGGACCCGAAAGAUGGUGAACUAUGCCUGAAUAGGGCGAAGCCAGAGGAAACUCUGGUGGAGGCUCGUAGCGAUUCUGACGUGCAAAUCGAUCGUCAAAUUUGGGUAUAGGGGCGAAAGACUAAUCGAAACCAUCUAGUAGCUGGGUCUGCGGA
This 947-nucleotide ribosomal RNA is filed under the name Phellinus punctatus. Its description in RNAcentral is "LSU rRNA". It matches the Rfam family "Eukaryotic large subunit ribosomal RNA", at positions 38 to 964 of the family's 3401-position model. The record is from RNAcentral. Lineage: Eukaryota; Fungi; Basidiomycota; Agaricomycetes; Hymenochaetales; Hymenochaetaceae.